This 603-nucleotide ribosomal RNA is filed under the name Salmonella enterica. RNAcentral describes it as "partial 23S ribosomal RNA". It matches the Rfam family "Bacterial large subunit ribosomal RNA", at positions 2211 to 2813 of the family's 2925-position model. The record is from RNAcentral. Lineage: Bacteria; Pseudomonadati; Pseudomonadota; Gammaproteobacteria; Enterobacterales; Enterobacteriaceae. RNAcentral also lists the same sequence under 1 other name.
UGUUUGAUGUUCUAACGUGGACCCGUUACCCGGGUUGCGGACAGUGUCUGGUGGGUAGUUUGACUGGGGCGGUCUCCUCCUAAAGAGUAACGGAGGAGCACGAAGGUUGGCUAAUCCUGGUCGGACAUCAGGAGGUUAGUGCAAUGGCAUAAGCCAGCUUGACUGCGAGCGUGACGGCGCGAGCAGGUGCGAAAGCAGGUCAUAGUGAUCCGGUGGUUCUGAAUGGAAGGGCCAUCGCUCAACGGAUAAAAGGUACUCCGGGGAUAACAGGCUGAUACCGCCCAAGAGUUCAUAUCGACGGCGGUGUUUGGCACCUCGAUGUCGGCUCAUCACAUCCUGGGGCUGAAGUAGGUCCCAAGGGUAUGGCUGUUCGCCAUUUAAAGUGGUACGCGAGCUGGGUUUAGAACGUCGUGAGACAGUUCGGUCCCUAUCUGCCGUGGGCGCUGGAGAACUGAGGGGGGCUGCUCCUAGUACGAGAGGACCGGAGUGGACGCAUCACUGGUGUUCGGGUUGUCAUGCCAAUGGCACUGCCCGGUAGCUAAAUGCGGAAGAGAUAAGUGCUGAAAGCAUCUAAGCACGAAACUUGCCCCGAGAUGAGUUCUC